This 465-nucleotide ribosomal RNA is filed under the name Triticum aestivum (bread wheat). Its description in RNAcentral is "partial small subunit ribosomal RNA". The record is from RNAcentral. Lineage: Eukaryota; Viridiplantae; Streptophyta; Magnoliopsida; Poales; Poaceae.
AUGGAAGCAAUGGUGGCCGUGGCUGUGCUUGUGCCUUGGCUAGCAUGGCUCAUCGUCUCUUUCCUUUCCCUCUACCUCCUCAGCCUCCUCGCGCACGCGCGCUCCGGCCUCCCUCCGGGCCCCCGCCCACUGCCGCUCAUCGGCAGCAUCCACCUUCUCGGCGACAAGCCGCACCGCUCUCUUGCUCGCCUAGCCAAGAUCCACGGCCCGCUCAUGUCCAUCCGCCUCGGCACGGUCACCACGGUCGUCGUCUCCUCCCCCACCAUGGCCCGGGAGUUCCUGCAGAGGCAUGACUCCGUGCUCGCCGCCCGGUCCGUGCCUCACGCCACCGGCAAGCACGCGCUAGGCUCCGUCGCCUGGCUGCCCCCCGUGCCGCGGUGGCGCGCGCUCCGCAAGAUAAUGGCCACGGAGCUGUUCGCGCCGCAGCGGCUCGACGCGCUCCACCACCUCCGGAGCGAAAGGUGA